This 253-nucleotide ribosomal RNA is filed under the name uncultured bacterium. RNAcentral describes it as "partial 16S ribosomal RNA". It matches the Rfam family "Bacterial small subunit ribosomal RNA", at positions 524 to 776 of the family's 1533-position model. The record is from RNAcentral.
UACGGGGGGGGCAAGCGUUGUUCGGAAUUACUGGGCGUAAAGCGUGCGCAGGCGGUUUUGCAAGACAGAUGUGAAAUCCCCGGGCUUAACCUGGGAACUGCAUUUGUGACUGCAAGGCUAGAGUGUGUCAGAGGGAGGUGGAAUUCCGCGUGUAGCAGUGAAAUGCGUAGAGAUGCGGAGGAACACCGAUGGCGAAGGCAGCCUCCUGGGAUAACACUGACGCUCAUGCACGAAAGCGUGGGGAGCAAACAGG